GGUAUAACGUACCUGGCCCGUAGCCUUUAGGCUUGUGUGUGCCGGCGCACGUUUGCCAUCUUUCUAGAAAACGGGUCUGCCAUUAACUUGGUGGGUUCGGGAUCUAAAUCAUUUACUUUGAAAAAAUUAGAGUGUUUAAAGCAAGCAAUUGCUCUGAAUACAUUAGCAUGGAAUAAUAAUCUAGGACUUCGGUUCUAUUUUGUUGGUUUCUAAAACUGAAGUAAUGAUCGAUAGGGACAGUUGGGGGUGCUAGUAUUGGCCGGCCAGAGGUGAAAUUCUUGGAUUCGGUCAAGACUAACUUAUGCGAAAGCAUUCACCAAGGAUGUCUUCUUUAAUCAAGAACGAAAGUUGGGGGAUCGAAGACGAUCAGAUACCGUCGUAGUCUCAACCAUAAACUAUGCCAACUAGGGAUGGGUGAACGUUGCUUUUUCGACUUCAUCCGCACCUUAUGAGAAAUCAAAGUCUUUGGGUUCCGGGGGGAGUAUGGUCGCAAGGCUGAAACUUAAAGGAAUUGACGGAAGGGCACCACCAUGAGUGGAGCCUGCGGCUUAAUUUGACUUCAACACGGGGA
RNAcentral lists this ribosomal RNA (571 nucleotides) under uncultured eukaryote. Its description in RNAcentral is "SSU rRNA". It matches the Rfam family "Eukaryotic small subunit ribosomal RNA", at positions 636 to 1211 of the family's 1831-position model. The record is from RNAcentral.